Molecule: ribosomal RNA, 497 nt
Filed under: uncultured bacterium
Lineage: Bacteria
Description: partial 16S ribosomal RNA
Rfam family: Bacterial small subunit ribosomal RNA
Source: RNAcentral
GAUGAACGCUGGCGGCGUGCCUAAUACAUGCAAGUCGAGCGAGCAGACGAGGAGCUUGCUCCUCUGACGUUAGCGACGGACGGGUGAGUAACACGUGGAUAACCUACCUAUAAGACUGGGAUAACUUCGGGAAACCGGAGCUAAUACCGGAUAAUAUAUUGAACCGCAUGGUUCAAUAGUGAAAGACGGUUUUGCUGUCACUUAUAGAUGGAUCCGCGCCGCAUUAGCUAGUUGGUAAGGUAACGGCUUACCAAGGCGACGAUGCGUAGCCGACCUGAGAGGGUGAUCGGCCACACUGGAACUGAGACACGGUCCAGACUCCUACGGGAGGCAGCAGUAGGGAAUCUUCCGCAAUGGGCGAAAGCCUGACGGAGCAACGCCGCGUGAGUGAUGAAGGUCUUCGGAUCGUAAAACUCUGUUAUUAGGGAAGAACAAAUGUGUAAGUAACUAUGCACGUCUUGACGGUACCUAAUCAGAAAGCCACGGCUAACUACGUG